Long non-coding RNA from Ixodes scapularis (black-legged tick), 330 nucleotides. RefSeq lists it as uncharacterized. Lineage: Eukaryota; Metazoa; Arthropoda; Arachnida; Ixodida; Ixodidae. The record is from RefSeq and is a predicted model, not a curated record. The transcript has 3 exons.
AUAAAAAAGGUGGCGCGAACAGAAAGACUCCGAAGAGAGCCUGCAAUUUCCGAAGACCUUCUCCAAGGAACUCCAAGAACAAGAUGGACCCUGUCUGCAAGUGUGGCGACCCCAAGUGCACAUGCACCACCUCGUGCAAGUGCCCAGGUGGUGAUUGCCCCUGCGACAAGUGCAAGACCAAAAGCCCCGCCAAGUAGUAGAGCCCGGAUGCAAAACAUCAAGGAGUUCACAGAACCCUGGCUUAUCCUGCAAGCACGAGAUGACGAAACGCAACAUGAUGCUCGUAUCAUCGACGGGGUUUGAAUAAACGCAUUUUGUUUCGCGAAGGAA